CAGAGACUGCGAGCGUUAUUCGGAUUCACUGGGCGUAAAGGGUGCGCAGGCGGCCAUGUGUGUGAGGCGUGAAAGCCCGGGGCUUAACCCCGGAAUUGCACCUCAAACUACAUGGCUAGAGCAUUGGAGAGGGUAGCAGAAUUCAUGGUGUAGCAGUGAAAUGCGUAGAUAUCAUGAGGAAUACCAGAGGCGAAGGCGGCUACCUGGACAAUUGCUGACGCUCAGGCACGAAAGCGUGGGGAGCAAAAGGGAUUAGAUACCCCUGUAGUCCACGCCCUAAACGGUGCACACUAGGUCUUGGCGGAUUCGACCCCCCCAGGGCCCCAGCUAACGCGUUAAGUGUGCCGCCUGAGGACUACGGCCGCAAGGCUA
RNAcentral lists this ribosomal RNA (372 nucleotides) under uncultured organism. RNAcentral describes it as "bacterial SSU rRNA". It matches the Rfam family "Bacterial small subunit ribosomal RNA", at positions 526 to 896 of the family's 1533-position model. The record is from RNAcentral.